ACGACCGAGCCCACUAGCAACAAUAACUCGUUGGGCCCAACCACCGGCCCAAAAUACUUUAGCCCAGUUAUUAUUACUAGUGUCUAAGUCUCUUAUAUACCCAAUCACAUCUCCAUUCCUAUCCGAUGUGGGAUUAUUGGAGGUGUGACAGACUCUCCUUGUUAAGGCCCUGACAUCCUCGUUAGUCCAAUUACACACACAGCCCAAGAUCACUAGGCAAUGUGAGACUUGUCUCGCUAGCCUUGUCAUCCAGACCCUGGCAUCGCUGGUCAACU
This 275-nucleotide long non-coding RNA is filed under the name Ananas comosus (pineapple). RNAcentral's name for it is "long non-coding RNA (ACOM_LNC043039)". The record is from RNAcentral. Lineage: Eukaryota; Viridiplantae; Streptophyta; Magnoliopsida; Poales; Bromeliaceae.